This is a non-coding RNA of Bactrocera oleae (olive fruit fly), 458 nucleotides long. The record is from RefSeq and is a predicted model, not a curated record. NCBI's taxonomy places the organism in Eukaryota, Metazoa, Arthropoda, Insecta, Diptera, Tephritidae.
GUUUUAUAUUGAUUUACAAGCGACUUUGGUUGGUUUUCACACCACAACUCCACAAUUGCAAUAAUUAAUGAAGCAGAGAAAAAUAGGAGAGAGAAUUUAAAUGCCUUUUCGCAUAUAUUUGCCACGUUUGUAACACACAGAACAAAAAGUCGGAGAUGAUUAGUGUAACGAGCUGAGUCAAUUUAGCCAAGUUCGAAAUUUGACACGGAUUGUUGUUCAAAGUAACGCUAUUAUCUGCGAACAUAUUAUUAAGAUCGGACCACUACACACAUAUAGCUGUCAGUAAAUGAUCAAAUCAAGUCCUUUGAUGUAUGAGGGGUAUUAUACAAUAACUUCGGUGCAACUGUACCGUUUUUUCUUGUCUUUUAUUGAGAAAAAUAUGAUUUCAAUAAACAUUUAAAUAUUUGAGAUAUUUUUAGAAGGAAUCUCUCCACUGAUCUUCCUUUUGUAAACUUCAA